GGUGGUUAUAGCGAUGGGGUCCCACCUCUUCCCAUUGAGAACAGAGCAGUUAAGCCCAUCUACGCCAAUGGUACUGCACCCCGUGUGUGGGAGAGUAGGUAGCCGCCU
Molecule: ribosomal RNA, 108 nt
Filed under: Bacteroidia bacterium
Lineage: Bacteria; Pseudomonadati; Bacteroidota; Bacteroidia
Source: RNAcentral